AUUGAACGCUGGCGGCAUGCUUUACACAUGCAAGUCGAACGGUAACAGGUUAAGCUGACGAGUGGCGAACGGGUGAGUAAUGCAUCGGAACGUGCCCGGUCGUGGGGGAUAACGCAGCGAAAGCUGCGCUAAUACCGCAUACGAUCUGAGGAUGAAAGCGGGGGACCGUAAGGCCUCGCGCGAUCGGAGCGGCCGGUGCCAGAUUAGGUAGGUGGUGGGGUAAAGGCUCACCAAGCCAACGAAAUGUACCUGGUCUGAGAGGACGACCAGCCACACUCGGACUGAAACACGGACCAGACUCCUACGGGAGGCAGCAGUGUGGAAUUUUGGACAAUGGGCGAAAGCCUGAUCCAGCAAUGCCGCGUGCAGGAAGAAGGCCUUCGGGUUGUAAACUGCUUUUGUACGGAGCGAAAAGGUCUCCUCUAAUACAGGGGGCUCAUGACGGUACCGUAAGAAUAAGCACCGGCUAACUACGUGCCAGCAGCCGCCGUAA
This 493-nucleotide ribosomal RNA is filed under the name uncultured bacterium. RNAcentral describes it as "partial 16S ribosomal RNA". It matches the Rfam family "Bacterial small subunit ribosomal RNA", at positions 29 to 523 of the family's 1533-position model. The record is from RNAcentral.